AUUGAACGCUGGCGGCAGGCCUAACACAUGCAAGUCGAGCGGAUGAAGGGAGCUUGCUCCUGGAUUCAGCGGCGGACGGGUGAGUAAUGCAUAGGAAUCUGCCUGGUCGUGGGGGAUAACGUCCGGACACGGGCGCUAAUACCGCAUACGUCCUGAGGGUGAAAGUGGGGGAUCUUCGGACCUCACGCUAUCUGAUGAGCCUAGGACGGAUUAGCUAGUUGGUGGGGUAAAGGCCUACCAAGGCGACGAUCCGUAACUGGUCUGAGAGGAUGAUCAGCCACACUGGAACUGAGACACGGUCCAGACUCCUACGGGAGGCAACAGUGGGGAAUAUUGGGCAAUGGGCGAAAGCCUGAUCCAGCCAUGCCGCGUGUGUGAAGAAGGUCUUCGGAUUGUAAAGCACUUUAAGUUGGGAGGAACAGCAGUAAGUUAAUACCUUGCUGUUUUGACGUUACCAACAGAAUAAGCACCGGCUAACUUCGUG
This 484-nucleotide ribosomal RNA is filed under the name uncultured bacterium. RNAcentral describes it as "partial 16S ribosomal RNA". It matches the Rfam family "Bacterial small subunit ribosomal RNA", at positions 30 to 507 of the family's 1533-position model. The record is from RNAcentral.